GACGGGAGCAGGAAAGGAGAGCUCUUUUGCUUGCUGCUGCCUUGGGCACGGAGAGGAGGCUGCUGCUGGUGGGGAAGGCAAGAGCAGGCACUGCUGCUCCCUGCUCCGUGGAUUCCCAGGGAGGCCUGCAGGCGAGGCCGAUCUGUGCUUGGCCUCCAUGUGCUGCUGACCUGAUCCCGGGCACUAAAAAGCUCACACAACAGGGAGAAAAUGAGCCACCCUGCAGGAGCGGGGAUUUGAGGGGAGCUUGGUUCACCAUGCUCCUGGCCACACUGCCCGGGGCGCCCGCUGGCCCCUGCCCAGCUCUGCGAAUGCUGCUGCUUUACUGCAGUGCCACAGGGGGAAACCUCGCCUGAUCGGGCACUGUCCGUUGUGACCCUGAACGCGUCAAUCGCAUCACUCAUCUUGCAGGUUCAUGCUGCCACGGGAUACCUCCUCCUUAUUUCAUUCUUUUGCAAGAAGAAAAGUUGCCAAGCAUUGAACCGAGGGCAGGGCAGCGUGCAGUGUGUUUCAGCCCGGCUCAGUAAAAAAUCAUUCCUGGUUGCUGAAGGACCUGCUCAAACAGCUCCAAGCAAGUUCUGCCACCUGUUUGAGAUCCGCAGCACCACGCUUAGCACAGCAGGAACUAGACACAAUCCUGGCUGCCUUAACCACUUCCUUUGAGAGGAGAGAGCUACAGCUGAGAAAAGCCGCUGCCAGGAAGAAGUGAAUAGAACUAACAAGGCUAUUGAGCUGGCCAACAGAUUAGUGAAAGGUCUGAGGUGAGGUCCUACAGGGCAGGCUAAUGAAGCAGUCCACAGAAAGCACUUCUUUGUUAUACACUACUGAUCUGGCAAUAACAGAGGCACUUAGCAAAGAACCUGAUGAGCUGAAAAAAUUAUGUCAUUAU
Cygnus olor (mute swan) is the source of this 889-nucleotide long non-coding RNA. RefSeq lists it as uncharacterized. Lineage: Eukaryota; Metazoa; Chordata; Aves; Anseriformes; Anatidae. The transcript has 3 exons. The record is from RefSeq and is a predicted model, not a curated record.